GUCUAAAGAAGACAUACCAAUGGCCAACAGGCACAUGAAAAGGUGCUCCUCAUCGUUAAUCCUCAGGGUAAUGCAAAUCAGAGCCACAAUGAGAUAUCACCUCACGCAACUUGGAAUGGCUAUCAUCAAAAAGUCGAGAGACAACAGGUGCUGGAGACGAUGUGAUAAAAGGGACUCUUAGAGACUGUUGGUGGAAAUGUAAGCUGGUCCAAUCACUAUGGAAAACAACAUGAAAAUUCCUCAAAAAAUUAAAAAUAGAUCUACCAUAGUAUCCAGCAAUUCACUUCUGGAUAUAUAUGCAAAGGAAAUGAAAACAUAAUUUUGACAAGAUAACUGUACUCUCGUGUUUAUGGCAGCAUAUUCACAAUGGCCAAGAUAUGGAAGCAACCCAAAUGCCCAUCAUUGGGUGAAUGGAUUUUAAAAAUAUUGUAUAUGUACACAAGGAAUAUUAUUCAGUCAUGAUAAAGAAAGAUAUCCUGCUGUCUACUUAUGACAAUAUGGAUGGACCUUGAGCACAUUAUGCUAAGCAAGAUAGGUCAGACAGAAGAAGACAAUUAUUGUAUGAUAUCACAUAUGUGUAGAAUCCUUAAAAAAAGUCAAAGCUGUAAAAAAAAAAAACAAC
Long non-coding RNA from Phyllostomus discolor (pale spear-nosed bat), 622 nucleotides. RefSeq lists it as uncharacterized. NCBI's taxonomy places the organism in Eukaryota, Metazoa, Chordata, Mammalia, Chiroptera, Phyllostomidae. The transcript has 2 exons. The record is from RefSeq and is a predicted model, not a curated record.